Molecule: long non-coding RNA, 200 nt
Filed under: Chinchilla lanigera (long-tailed chinchilla)
Lineage: Eukaryota; Metazoa; Chordata; Mammalia; Rodentia; Chinchillidae
Description: Rhabdomyosarcoma 2 associated transcript conserved region 6 (ENSCLAG00000019503.1)
Rfam family: Rhabdomyosarcoma 2 associated transcript conserved region 6
Source: RNAcentral
GGGUGACGGAUCAUACUUGCCAGCCGGCUAAUAUCAUAAUUAGCGAAGUUGCUACUAUGUCUGCAAAGUUUAAUCGAAAAAUUUAUCAGUAAUAUGAUGACAUCGUCACAGAGAUCACAAGGGACACAGAGUCGACUUUUGCUCAAGAUGGAAUGAAACUGUGUGGACAAGAUGAGAAAUUCCGAACCUGCUCGGCCAAA